CGCAACCCUACGUUUAGUUGCUAACGCGUGAAGGCGAGCACUCUAGACGAACUGCCGUUGACAAACGGAGGAAGGUGGGGAUGACGUCAAAUCAUCAUGCCCCUUAUGUUCUGGGCUACACACGUGCUACAAUGGCCGGUACAGACGGACGCAAAGCCGCGAGGUGGAGCAAAUCCUAAAAAGCCGGUCUCAGUUCGGAUUGCAGGCUGCAAUUCGCCUGCAUGAAGUCGGAAUCGCUAGUAAUCGCAGGUCAGCAUACUGCGGUGAAUACGUUCCCGGGCCUU
RNAcentral lists this ribosomal RNA (284 nucleotides) under uncultured Pelotomaculum sp. RNAcentral's name for it is "partial 16S ribosomal RNA". It matches the Rfam family "Bacterial small subunit ribosomal RNA", at positions 1097 to 1382 of the family's 1533-position model. The record is from RNAcentral. Lineage: Bacteria; Bacillati; Bacillota; Clostridia; Eubacteriales; Desulfotomaculaceae.